RNAcentral lists this ribosomal RNA (597 nucleotides) under Priestia megaterium. RNAcentral's name for it is "bacterial LSU rRNA". It matches the Rfam family "Bacterial large subunit ribosomal RNA", at positions 2332 to 2925 of the family's 2925-position model. Lineage: Bacteria; Bacillati; Bacillota; Bacilli; Caryophanales; Bacillaceae. The record is from RNAcentral.
UGGCAAUCAUUCGGAGAGGGGAAAGGCACAAGGGGGAUUGACUGCGAGACCUACAAGUCGAGCAGGGACGAAAGUCGGGCUUAGUGAUCCGGUGGUUCCGCAUGGAAGGGCCAUCGCUCAACGGAUAAAAGCUACCCCGGGGAUAACAGGCUUAUCUCCCCCAAGAGUCCACAUCGACGGGGAGGUUUGGCACCUCGAUGUCGGCUCAUCGCAUCCUGGGGCUGUAGUCGGUCCCAAGGGUUGGGCUGUUCGCCCAUUAAAGCGGUACGCGAGCUGGGUUCAGAACGUCGUGAGACAGUUCGGUCCCUAUCCGUCGUGGGCGUAGGAAAUUUGAGAGGAGCUGUCCUUAGUACGAGAGGACCGGGAUGGACACACCGCUGGUGUACCAGUUGUCUUGCCAAAGGCAUCGCUGGGUAGCUAUGUGUGGACGGGAUAAGUGCUGAAAGCAUCUAAGCAUGAAGCCCCCCUCAAGAUGAGAUUUCCCAUAGCGCAAGCUAGUAAGAUCCCUGAAAGAUGAUCAGGUUGAUAGGUCAGAGGUGGAAGCGUGGCGACAUGUGUAGCUGACUGAUACUAAUCGAUCGAGGACUUAACCAAAUU